RNAcentral lists this ribosomal RNA (464 nucleotides) under uncultured bacterium. RNAcentral describes it as "partial 16S ribosomal RNA". It matches the Rfam family "Bacterial small subunit ribosomal RNA", at positions 339 to 795 of the family's 1533-position model. The record is from RNAcentral.
CUACGGGUGGCUCCGGUGGGGAAUAUUGCACAAUGGGCGCAAGCCUGAUGCAGCCAUGCCGCGUGUAUGAAGAAGGCCUUCGGGUUGUAAAGUACUUUCAGCGGGGAGGAAGGGAGUAAAGUUAAUACCUUUGCUCAUUGACGUUACCCGCAGAAGAAGCACCGGCUAACUCCGUGCCAGCAGCCGCGGUAAUACGGAGGGUGCAAGCGUUAAUCGGAAUUACUGGGCGUAAAGCGCACGCAGGCGGUUUGUUAAGUCAGAUGUGAAAUCCCCGGGCUCAACCUGGGAACUGCAGCUGAUACUGGCAAGCUUGAGUCUCGUAGAGGGGGGUAGAAUUCCAGGUGUAGCGGUGAAAUGCGUAGAGAUCUGGAGGAAUACCGGUGGCGAAGGCGGCCCCCUGGACGAAGACUGACGCUCAGGUGCGAAAGCGUGGGGAGCAAACAGGAUUAGAUACCCGCGUAGUC